Molecule: ribosomal RNA, 880 nt
Filed under: Gaeumannomyces radicicola
Lineage: Eukaryota; Fungi; Ascomycota; Sordariomycetes; Magnaporthales; Magnaporthaceae
Description: SSU rRNA
Rfam family: Eukaryotic small subunit ribosomal RNA
Source: RNAcentral
GAUUAAGCCAUGCAUGUCUAAGUAUAAAGCAAUUAUACAGCGAAACUGCGAAUGGCUCAUUAAAUCAUUUAUCGUUUAUUUGAUAGUACCUUACUACAUGGAUAACCGUGGUAAUUCUAGAGCUAAUACAUGCUGAAAACCCCGACUUCGGAAGGGGUGUAUUUAUUAGAUUAAAAACCAAUGCCCUUCGGGGCUCACUGGUGAUUCAUGAUAACUUCUCGAAUCGCACGGCCUUGCGCCGGCGAUGGUUCAUUCAAAUUUCUGCCCUAUCAACUUUCGACGGCUGGGUCUUGGCCAGCCGUGGUGACAACGGGUAACGGAGGGUUAGGGCUCGACCCCGGAGAAAACGCCUGAGAAACGGCGUUUACAUCCAAGGAAGGCAGCAGGCGCGCAAAUUACCCAAUGCCGACACGGCGAGGUAGUGACGAGAAAUACUGAUACAGGGCUCUUUUGGGUCUUGUAAUUGGAAUGAGUACAAUUUAAAUCUCUUAACGAGGAACAAUUGGAGGGCAAGUCUGGUGCCAGCAGCCGCGGUAAUUCCAGCUCCAAUAGCGUAUAUUAAAGUUGUUGCAGUUAAAAAGCUCGUAGUUGAACCUUGGGCCUGGCUGGCCGGUCCGCCUCACCGCGUGCACUGGUCCGGCCGGGCCUUUCCCUCUGGGGAGCCCCAUGCCCUUCACUGGGCGUGGCGGGGAACCAGGACUUUUUACUUGUGAAAAAAAUUAAGAGUGUUCAAAAGCAGGCCUAUGCUCGAAUUACAUUUAGCAUGGAAUAAUAGAAUAGGACGUGUUGGUUCUAUUUUGGUUGGGUUUCUAGGAACCGCCCGUAAAUGAUUAAUUAGGGACAGUCGGGGGGGCGGUCAGUUAUUUCCAUUUGUUCAGAG